RNAcentral lists this ribosomal RNA (973 nucleotides) under Enterococcus faecalis. RNAcentral describes it as "partial 23S ribosomal RNA". It matches the Rfam family "Bacterial large subunit ribosomal RNA", at positions 1 to 969 of the family's 2925-position model. Lineage: Bacteria; Bacillati; Bacillota; Bacilli; Lactobacillales; Enterococcaceae. The record is from RNAcentral.
GAUAAGGUUAAGUGAAUAAGGGCGCACGGUGGAUGCCUUGGCACUAGGAGCCGAUGAAGGACGGGACUAACACCGAUAUGCUUUGGGGAGCUGUAAGUAAGCUAUGAUCCAGAGAUUUCCGAAUGGGGGAACCCAAUAUCUUUUAUAGGAUAUUACUUUUCAGUGAAUACAUAGCUGAUUAGAGGUAGACGCAGAGAACUGAAACAUCUUAGUACCUGCAGGAAGAGAAAGAAAAUUCGAUUCCCUGAGUAGCGGCGAGCGAAACGGGAAGAGCCCAAACCAACAAGCUUGCUUGUUGGGGUUGUAGGACUCCAAUAUGGUAGUCUGUUAGUAUAGUUGAAGGAUUUGGAAAAUUCCGCUAAAGAGGGUGAAAGCCCCGUAGACGAAAUGCUGACAACACCUAGGAGGAUCCUGAGUACGGCGGAACACGAGAAAUUCCGUCGGAAUCCGCGGGGACCAUCCCGCAAGGCUAAAUACUCCCUAGUGACCGAUAGUGAACCAGUACCGUGAGGGAAAGGUGAAAAGCACCCCGGAAGGGGAGUGAAAUAGAUCCUGAAACCGUGUGCCUACAACAAGUCAAAGCUCGUUAAUGAGUGAUGGCGUGCCUUUUGUAGAAUGAACCGGCGAGUUACGAUUGCAUGCGAGGUUAAGUCGAAGAGACGGAGCCGCAGCGAAAGCGAGUCUGAAUAGGGCGAAUGAGUAUGUAGUCGUAGACCCGAAACCAUGUGAUCUACCCAUGUCCAGGUUGAAGGUGCGGUAAAACGCACUGGAGGACCGAACCCACGUACGUUGAAAAGUGCGGGGAUGAGGUGUGGGUAGCGGAGAAAUUCCAAACGAACUUGGAGAUAGCUGGUUCUCUCCGAAAUAGCUUUAGGGCUAGCCUCGGAAUUGAGAAUGAUGGAGGUAGAGCACUGUUUGGACUAGGGGCCCAUCUCGGGUUACCGAAUUCAGAUAAACUCCGAAUGCCAUUCAU